UACGAAGGGGGCUAGCGUUGCUCGGAAUUACUGGGCGUAAAGCGCACGUAGGCGGAUUGUUAAGUCGGGGGUGAAAUCCUGGAGCUCAACUCCAGAACUGCCUUCGAUACUGGCGAUCUCGAGUUCGGGAGAGGUGAGUGGAACUGCGAGUGUAGAGGUGAAAUUCGUAGAUAUUCGCAAGAACACCAGUGGCGAAAGGC
This 200-nucleotide ribosomal RNA is filed under the name uncultured bacterium. RNAcentral's name for it is "partial 16S ribosomal RNA". It matches the Rfam family "Bacterial small subunit ribosomal RNA", at positions 524 to 722 of the family's 1533-position model. The record is from RNAcentral.